AGCAGCCGCGGUAAUUCCAGCUCCAAUAGCGCAUAUUAAAUAGUUGUUGCAGUUAAAAAGCUCGUAGUUGAAUUUCGGGAUCAGCAGGUCGGUCGUGCCACUGGUAUGCACUGGCCUUGCUGAUUCCUCCCUCUUGAUGAGCCGUAAUGCCAUUAAUUUGGUGUUGCGGGGAAUCAGGACUGUUACUUUGAAAAAAUUUAGAGUGUUUAAAGCAGGCAUGCGCUUGAAUACAUUAGCAUGGAAUAAUGAAAUAGGACGUUCGAUCCUAUUUUGUUGGUUUCUAGGAUCGACGUAAUGAUUAAUAGGGAUAGUUGGGGGCAUUAGUAUUCAAUUGUCAGAGGUGAAAUUCUUGGAUCUAUUGAAGACUAACUACUGCGAAAGCAUUUGCCAAGGAUGUUUUCAUUAAUCAAGAACGAAAGUUAGGGGAUCGAAGACGAUCAGAUACCGUCGUAGUCUUAACCAUAAACUAUGCCGACUAGGGAUCGGAUGAUGUUAAUUUUUUAAUGACUCAUUCGGCGCC
Molecule: ribosomal RNA, 520 nt
Filed under: uncultured Glomus
Lineage: Eukaryota; Fungi; Glomeromycota; Glomeromycetes; Glomerales; Glomeraceae
Description: SSU rRNA
Rfam family: Eukaryotic small subunit ribosomal RNA
Source: RNAcentral